RNAcentral lists this ribosomal RNA (460 nucleotides) under uncultured bacterium. RNAcentral's name for it is "partial 16S ribosomal RNA". It matches the Rfam family "Bacterial small subunit ribosomal RNA", at positions 338 to 795 of the family's 1533-position model. The record is from RNAcentral.
CCUACGGGAGGCAGCAGUGAGGAAUAUUGGUCAAUGGACGAGAGUCUGAACCAGCCACGUCGCGUGAAGGAUGACUGCCCUCUGGGUUGUAAACUUCUUUUAUAUGGGAAUAAAAUGUUGCAAGUGUGGGAUCUUGUAUGUACCAUAUGAAUAAGGAUCGGCUAACCUCGUGACAGCAGACGCGGUAAUACGUAGGAUGCGAGGGUUGUCCGGAUUUAUUGGGUUUAAAGGGAGUGUAGGUGGUUUGUUAAGUCAGUUGUGAAAGUUUUCGGCUCAAACGGAACAGUGCAGUUGAAACUGGCGAGCUUGAGUGAAGAAGAGGUGAGCGGAAUUCGAGGUGUAGCGGUGAAAUGCUUAGAUAUCACGAAGAACUCCGAUGGCGAAGGCAGUUCACUGGACUGCAACUGACACUGAGGCUCGAAAGUGUGGGUAGCAAACAGGAUUAGAUACCCGAGUAGUC